CAGUAUUGCUUUUGCCAGAUGGUUAUCCUUUGAAAAAGUCAGUCUCAUUUCCAAGAAUAGCCAUUUCCCUCUUCCUGCAGGGAGGCCUGAGACCCUCCUGGCGCCCUUUCAGUUUUGGCAGACAUCCUGGUUUGCUUCGAGUCCCCACUUAGGAAAUGGAGAAAAGAGAGUGGGAAGUGUUUCUGUUAAGGCUUCAGCAGAAAAAAGCCAAAGACUCCCAGGACCUUGUCCUGCAGCUCUCCGUGCCUAUCUGUACCAAGUGCUGUUGUGGGUGAAGAAGGCCCAGGUCAAUGUACAAAACAGGUGAAACUCCAGUCCUCUUGGAUUUUCGUAAAGGGCGAGAGAUGACAAACAAACAAUAAAAUAUAAAGAACGUCAGAUGAGGAUUAGUGCCAUGGAGAAAAGUCACAAGAGAAGUGAAGGCACAGGUGAGGGUAUUAGCUUCCAGGACGGUCGACACUAGCAAGGAGGUGACAUUUGAACAAGAUCGUGAGGAUUUGAGGGAGUGAAGCAAGUCACAUCUAGAGGAACGGCCUUUAGGACAGAGGAAAGCAGCAACUGCAGACGCCUGAGAAAAUGAUGCCUUUCACAGAGCAGGAUCUCCAGGCACAUUUGUGGGUUGAUUAUUGAAUCAAACUCUUCAUUCACAUUUUGAAAAGAACCAUCCAAGAAUUAGGUUUGCUACUGCUGUAAAAGAUAUAAAUCAAUGUUGCCAUGGCUAUGGAAAAUUAUCAUAAAUGUACUAGAAAAUACACUCUCGCUUUUGUGAGAUGUACGAGGAAAUGCACUUUACACUCAAAAUCUCAGA
Molecule: non-coding RNA, 808 nt
Organism: Kogia breviceps (pygmy sperm whale)
Lineage: Eukaryota; Metazoa; Chordata; Mammalia; Artiodactyla; Physeteridae
Source: RefSeq, a predicted model, not a curated record